This 1376-nucleotide ribosomal RNA is filed under the name Prorhinotermes canalifrons. RNAcentral's name for it is "16S ribosomal RNA". The stretch from base 887 to 1260 matches the Rfam family "Bacterial large subunit ribosomal RNA", at positions 2073 to 2647 of the family's 2925-position model. Lineage: Eukaryota; Metazoa; Arthropoda; Insecta; Blattodea; Rhinotermitidae. The record is from RNAcentral.
GCAAUUCGGCAUGGUCUGAGGGUAUAUUUCCUUAUUGUUAUUUUUGGUGUUUGUGGUUAGGUAAGUUAAGCAUUAUUUUGUUGGUGUAUUGUUUUAGAUUUAAUUUUUUAAUGAUAGUUUAUUUGUACUGUGAGGGGUUGGAGUUGUAUUUUUUGGAAGCUGAUUUUUUUUAUUGUACCUUGUGUAUCAGGGUUCAUUGAAUUUUGUUAUUUAUUUUUGUUUCCCGAUUUCGAAGGAGUUAUUGGUUUGUUUUAGUUAUUGUUUCAUAAAUAUUAAUUACAUUCUGUUGGUAGUGAAAUGCUAUUCGUCUUCGAGGGUUUCUGGUUUUUCAAGAAAUGAAUUUAAUUCAGGCAUUUGUUGGUUUUAAUUUUUAAAAUUGUGUUUAUUUUUUAUUACCUGUUGCUAAGAUUAAGGGGGAUUAGCUCUUUAUUUGAUUUUUAUAAUUUGGUUGGUUAUAUUUGGUCUUGUGGAUUUUAUGGUGAUUAUCAAUUUGAUUAUGUUAAAAUUUUAUUGGUUGUUUUCGUUAUUUGGUUUGUAUUUAAGUUUUUAUUGAAAUGUUUACUUUAUUUUUGUUUGUGUAGUAAUUAUUGUGGAAUUAGUAUAUUUGUAUGAUUGGGUUGUUUGUUUGUUUGUUAGUUUCUUUUGAGGAAUUCGGCAAAUAUUGGUUUCCGCCUGUUUAACAAAAACAUCUUUUCUUGGUAGUUUUUGAAGUAUAGCCUGCCCGCUGAUUUGGUUUGAAGGGCCGCGGUAUUCUGACCGUGCAAAGGUAGCAUAAUCAUUAGUUCUUUAAUUGUGAUCUGGAAUGAAUGGCUGGACGAGACACUAGCUGUCUUAUUUUGAAUUGGGUUGUUGAAUUUGGUCUUUGAGUUAAAAUUCUUAAAUGUUUUUAUGGGACGAGAAGACCCUAUAGAGUUUUACAUCAGGUUUGGGUUGAUAGUGUUUGUUGUUUUAUGUUUAUUUGGCUUGAUGUUUUGUUGGGGCGAUGGGAGGAAUUUAUUUAACUCUUCUUGUUAAGUUGAUAUAUUGAUUUGUAUCUGUUUGAUCCACUUUGUUUGUGAUUAUAAGAUUAAAUUACCUUAGGGAUAACAGCGUUAUCCUCCUUGAGAGUUCUUAUCGACAGGAGGGGUUGCGACCUCGAUGUUGGAUUAAGGUGAAUUCGUGGUGUAGUGGCUAUGAGUUGUAUUAGGUCUGUUCGACCUUUAAUAAUCUUACAUGAUCUGAGUUCAGACCGGCGUGAGCCAGGUUGGUUUCUAUCUAUAAUGAGGUGUUGUGCUUUAGUACGAGAGGACCAGGCAUGAGAAAUAAUUUUAUUUGAGUUGAGUUUUAUUAACGUAACUAUUUUGGCAGAUAAGUGCAUUGGAUUUAGAAUCUAUUAA